GCCCUGAUGGUGUAGAGGCAACAUAUGGCCCUGUCGAGGCCAUGCCCCGGGUUCGAUUCCCGGUCAGGGCG
Molecule: transfer RNA, 71 nt
Filed under: Nanobdellota archaeon
Lineage: Archaea; Nanobdellati; Nanobdellota
Description: tRNA-Asp
Rfam family: tRNA
About the family: Transfer RNA (tRNA) molecules are approximately 80 nucleotides in length.
Source: RNAcentral